RNAcentral lists this ribosomal RNA (497 nucleotides) under uncultured bacterium. Its description in RNAcentral is "partial 16S ribosomal RNA". It matches the Rfam family "Bacterial small subunit ribosomal RNA", at positions 28 to 507 of the family's 1533-position model. The record is from RNAcentral.
GAUGAACGCUGGCGGCGUGCCUAAUACAUGCAAGUCGAGCGAACAGACGAGGAGCUUGCUCCUCUGACGUUAGCGGCGGACGGGUGAGUAACACGUGGAUAACCUACCUAUAAGACUGGGAUAACUUCGGGAAACCGGAUCUAAUACCGGAUAAUAUAUUGAACCGCAUGGUUCAAUAGUGAAAGACGGUUUUGCUGUCACUUAUAGAUGGAUCCGCGCCGCAUUAGCUAGUUGGUAAGGUAACGGCUUACCAAGGCGACGAUGCGUAGCCGACCUGAGAGGGUGAUCGGCCACACUGGAACUGAGACACGGUCCAGACUCCUACGGGAGGCAGCAGUAGGGAAUAUUCAGCAAUGGGCGAAAGCCUGACGGAGCAACGCCGCGUGAGUGAUGAAGGUCUUCGGAUCGUAAAACUCUGUUAUUAGGGAAGAACAAAUGUGUAAGUAAAUAUGCACGUCUUGACGGUACCUAAUGAGAAAGCCACGGCUAACUACGUG